Molecule: ribosomal RNA, 253 nt
Filed under: uncultured bacterium
Lineage: Bacteria
Description: partial 16S ribosomal RNA
Rfam family: Bacterial small subunit ribosomal RNA
Source: RNAcentral
UACGUAGGGUGCAAGCGUUAAUCGGAAUUACUGGGCGUAAAGCGUGCGCAGGCGGUUUUGUAAGUCUGUCGUGAAAGCCCCGGGCUCAACCUGGGAAUUGCGAUGGAGACUGCAAGGCUAGAAUCUGGCAGAGGGGGGUAGAAUUCCACGUGUAGCAGUGAAAUGCGUAGAGAUGUGGAGGAACACCGAUGGCGAAGGCAGCCCCCUGGGUCAAGAUUGACGCUCAUGCACGAAAGCGUGGGGAGCAAACAGG